This 1488-nucleotide long non-coding RNA is filed under the name Homo sapiens (human). RNAcentral's name for it is "long intergenic non-protein coding RNA 3013". The record is from RNAcentral. Lineage: Eukaryota; Metazoa; Chordata; Mammalia; Primates; Hominidae.
UUUAAAGAAGACUGUGAGUGUCAGCACAUAAAAAGGUAAUCCUGUCUCAAUUGUAGCUACAGAUUGCAAGUCCUGUGUCAAUUCAAAUUUUUGCCAGCAGAUACUAAUGACUUCAUUGAAAGCAGAUGUUUAGAAAUGAAAGUAUAAACACAACCCCAGUUGAUUAAUAUGCUUAUUGUAUUUCCUUGUUGUGAGUCUAGCGAAUAUUUGAUUAUCUUUAAGUUGAUCCAUAGUAUAUUCAACAGUCUCAUGAGAACAUAAUUUUUGUUGAUGAUUUGUCCAAAGUUUCUAUCAAUCCAUCUUAGCAGCAGAGCCAAGUGUUAGAGUUAUUGCUGCCUGAGUUAUAACAGCUGCCCUGGGAAUCUUGUCUGAACAACAAGUUAACUGCUGUUCCCAGUUAUAUCUGGUCUUUCCCACCCCCAAACAUACACAAAAGAUUUUUGUCAUUCUUGGCACUGGACAACAGAAGUGAUAAGACAUGCCAGCAGAACUCUAAAGGCAGAAUGUCCUUCCACCUGUUUUAUGCUGUAAGACAAACUUCCAAGUGCGAGGCAGUGUGGAGGGCUGUUGCCUUGAAUGGCAGCUGAAUGCACCAGCGGGAUCCUUGGCAGCAAUGCCCAGGCACUGAAGUCGGGCAUUCAGGAGAGCUAAAUGGAGAAAAGAAACUUGAGCAAACUGCUUCCUGGAACACUGAGAACCUGAAUGGGAAAUUAAGAAGAACCAGAUUCUUUCUAUUCUUCCACCAGCCAAGCAACUUCAGGAUGGGGGAAUCAAGCAAAACCAUGGUGAAGAGAUUCAUUUAAAGAGGACAAGUGAUUUAUUCUACAUCUCAGGAGACAGUUCCUUAAGGUGAUGAGCACAAAAGGAUCCAUCUUAUACAGUGCUUGCCAGCUUCCAUAAUACUACUCACCACGAUGUUGAAAUCACCUGUUCCAGAACCAGUCCUGUCCUUUGACAAGAAGGAUUUAAUUAUCAGUAGUGGUGGGGACUGGCUGGAGAGAGGAAAAACACUUCAAGGACUCUGCCACCUUUCGUAGAUGGAGAGUGCAAAGUUUGUACCAUGGAACUCCUUCUCUAACAGUUACUCUGUGGCAGUGCCUAUUUCAAACCUCCCUUAACUUCUGAUUGUAUAGAUGUUUGUUUCAUUUGUUCAUCUGUUUGUUCACUUAGUCAGAGAUGUUUUAAGCCUUAAGAGAAAUAGUGGACUAGAAAAUGCCUUGGAAAAGUACAAAGUUCAAUCCAAGUAAACUGUUUUUAAACUAGGAAUUUAUGAAGCCUAAAAUAUAAAAUGUAUAUACAUGGAUAUGCUCUGAAGUGAGGUAGAGGGGUAGAAAUCAACAUUGUGAUAUUGUACUAUAGUUUUGCAAGAUGUUACCAUUGGGGGAAAAUGUUUGAAGGGUAUACGGGAUAUCUCUGCCUUAUUUCUUACAACUGCAUGUGAAUCUACAGUUAUCUCAAAAUAAAAAUUUAAUUAACAAUUGAUUACAA